Molecule: ribosomal RNA, 443 nt
Filed under: uncultured bacterium
Lineage: Bacteria
Description: bacterial SSU rRNA
Rfam family: Bacterial small subunit ribosomal RNA
Source: RNAcentral
GGCGGACGGGUGAGUAACACGUGGGUAAUCUGCCUUUCAGCGGGGGAUAACUGUCCGAAAGGAUAGCUAAUACCGCAUACGUCGUCGAGGGUUUCGAUUCUUGACGGGAAAGCCGGCCUCUCCAUGGAAGCUGGCACUGAAAGAGGAGCCUGCGCCCCAUCAGCUAGUUGGUAGGGUAAUGGCCUACCAAGGCUUAGACGGGUAGCUGGUCUGAGAGGAUGAUCAGCCACACUGGGACUGAGACACGGCCCAGACUCCUACGGGAGGCAGCAGUGGGGAAUAUUGGGCAAUGGGCGCAAGCCUGACCCAGCCACGCCGCGUGAGUGAUGAAGGCCUUCGGGUCGUAAAGCUCUGUGGGGAGGGACGAAAAAACGUUGGCCAAUAUCCAACGGACUGACGGUACCUCCUUAGCAAGCACCGGCUAACUCCGUGCCAGCCGCCGC